GGAGUUUGGUCCGUGUCUCAGUACCAAUGUGGGGGACCUUCCUCUCAGAACCCCUACUGAUCGUCGGCUCGGUGGGCCGUUACCCCGCCGACUGCCUAAUCAGACGCAUCCCCAUCCCUUACCGAUGAAUCUUUGCUCCUCGUUAGAUGCCCGCGAAGGAGAACAUAGGGCAUUAAUCCGACUUUCUCUGGGUUAUUCCCCUCGUAGGGGGCGAGGUUGCAUACGUGUUACUCACCAGUGCGCCGGUCGCCAUCGGGUGGUGUUGCCACCUCCCACUGCUGCCCCUCGACUUGCAUGUGUUAAGCCUGUCGCUAGCGUUCAUC
RNAcentral lists this ribosomal RNA (323 nucleotides) under uncultured Prevotella sp. RNAcentral's name for it is "partial 16S ribosomal RNA". Lineage: Bacteria; Pseudomonadati; Bacteroidota; Bacteroidia; Bacteroidales; Prevotellaceae. The record is from RNAcentral.